CUUGAAAUUAUUCUAAGGUGAAGGUGUUAGGCACCCCUCAAAAUCCACUAGUGUGGUUUCCGACUAGACUAUUAUUGUGAGUUUAGGUACAAAUAACAUAUAGAAAAAUAAGGCUCAAACAAUAGGGGAUUUCACAUAUAAAGGCUGAAAGUAGAUGAAGCUAGAAAGAGCAAUUUAGGGAAGCUGGUUUUAGGAAAAAUAUCACAGAAAAGAAAUAAGAAUAAAAGGAAGGGAUCCUAGGUUUACUAAAAAUAUGGAUCACCCCACUGAACGCUCGGUCCUCAAUGAGGGGCUACAUAUGACGUGACCGUGUGGUCAUCUUAUCCAUAUCUACCCUUCCCACCCCACUAGGGUAUUUAAAGCGCGAAUUGGUCUCAUUUACUUAUUGCAUGCUAUUACCCGACCCAAUCCUAUCAAGCCUUAGGUAUUUAGGACUACUAAUCCUAAUAGGAAGGUAUAUUAGGCUUAUUUGUAGUUUCAAAGGUAAAACUCUAAGGCGACAUACAAAACAUGUAUUGCAAGUUAGGGAAAGCAUAUAACAAGCAGAGGCUAAGAUAUACCUCCUUAAAAAAAGAAGCACGUAAUUAGCAUGACUUACACAUACUGUUUAGGUCUGAUGAUUAUAUAUGAAGGAC
Molecule: long non-coding RNA, 635 nt
Filed under: Nicotiana benthamiana
Lineage: Eukaryota; Viridiplantae; Streptophyta; Magnoliopsida; Solanales; Solanaceae
Description: long non-coding RNA (NBEN_LNC003158)
Source: RNAcentral